Molecule: ribosomal RNA, 587 nt
Filed under: uncultured bacterium
Lineage: Bacteria
Description: partial 16S ribosomal RNA
Rfam family: Bacterial small subunit ribosomal RNA
Source: RNAcentral
UGGGGAAUUUUGGACAAUGGGCGAAAGCCUGAUCCAGCAAUGCCGCGUGUGUGAAGAAGGCCUUCGGGUUGUAAAGCACUUUUGUCCGGAAAGAAAUCCUUGGCUCUAAUACAGUCGGGGGAUGACGGUACCGGAAGAAUAAGCACCGGCUAACUACGUGCCAGCAGCCGCGGUAAUACGUAGGGUGCAAGCGUUAAUCGGAAUUACUGGGCGUAAAGCGUGCGCAGGCGGUUUGCUAAGACCGAUGUGAAAUCCCCGGGCUCAACCUGGGAACUGCAUUGGUGACUGGGCAGGCUAGAGUAUGGCAGAGGGGGGUAGAAUUCCACGUGUAGCAGUGAAAUGCGUAGAGAUGUGGAGGAAUACCGAUGGCGAAGGCAGCCCCCUGGGCCAAUACUGACGCUCAUGCACGAAAGCGUGGGGAGCAAACAGGAUUAGAUACCCUGGUAGUCCACGCCCUAAAACGAUGUCAACUAGUUGUUGGGGAUUCAUUUCCUUAGUAACGUAGCUAACGCGUGAAGUUGACCGCCUGGGGAGUACGGUCGCAAGAUUAAAACUCAAAUGAAUUGACGGGGUCAUAGCUGUUUCCU